This 274-nucleotide ribosomal RNA is filed under the name uncultured bacterium. Its description in RNAcentral is "partial 16S ribosomal RNA". It matches the Rfam family "Bacterial small subunit ribosomal RNA", at positions 523 to 796 of the family's 1533-position model. The record is from RNAcentral.
AUACGUAGGGUGCGAGCGUUAAUCGGAAUUACUGGGCGUAAAGCGUGCGCAGGUGGUUUUGUAAGUCAGAUGUGAAAUCCCCGGGCUUAACCUGGGAACUGCGUUUGAAACUGCAAGGCUAGAGUGUGGCAGAGGGGGGUGGAAUUCCGCGUGUAGCAGUGAAAUGCGUAGAUAUGUGGAGGAACACCGAUGGCGAAGGCAGCCCCCUGGGUCAGCACUGACGCUCCGGCACGAAAGCAUGGGGAGCAAACAGGAUUAGAAACCCCAGUAGUCC